GGAUGCCCAGAUAAAUUUAAAUUUCAGGUAAACAGCAAAUAUUUUUUUUAGUAUAGGUAUGUUCUGUGAAAUAUUUGGGACAUACUUACACUAAAAGUUUGUUGUUUAUCUGAAGUUCCAGUUUAGUUGG
RNAcentral lists this microRNA precursor (130 nucleotides) under Myotis lucifugus (little brown bat). RNAcentral's name for it is "miRNA (ENSMLUG00000021908.1)". The stretch from base 45 to 96 matches the Rfam family "mir-1302 microRNA precursor family". The record is from RNAcentral. Lineage: Eukaryota; Metazoa; Chordata; Mammalia; Chiroptera; Vespertilionidae.